CCUAGGUUUAAGUCCUUAAUCCAUCUUGAGUUGAUUUUUGUAUAAGGUGAGAGAUGAGGAUCCAGUUUUGUUCUCCUACAUGUGCUAGCCAAUUAUCGCAGCACCAUUUGUUUACAUGGGUCUCCCUUCCCUACUUUAUGUUUUUGUUUGCUUUGUCAAAGAUCAGUUGGCUGUAAGUAUUUGUGUUUAUUUCUGGGUUCUCUAUUCUGUUCCAUUGGUCUAUGUGCCCAUUUUUACACCAGCACCAUGCUGUUUUGGUGACUAUGGCCUUAUAGCGUAGUUUGAAAUCAGGUAAUGUGAUGCCUCCAGAUUUCUUCUUUUUGCUUGGUCUUGCUUUGGCCAUGCAGGCUCUUUUAGCUCCAAAUGGAUUUUAGAAUUGCUUUUUCUAACUGUGUGAAGAAUGGUAUUUUGAUGGGGAUUGUGUUGAAUUUGUAGCUUGCUUUUGGCAGUAUGGUCAUUUUCACAAUAUUGAUUCUACCCAUCCUUGAACAUGGGAUGUGUUUCCAUUUAUUUGUGUCAUCUACGAUUUCUUUCAGCAGUGUUUUGUAGUCUUCUA
Long non-coding RNA from Sapajus apella (tufted capuchin), 556 nucleotides. RefSeq lists it as uncharacterized. The transcript is spliced from 3 exons. NCBI's taxonomy places the organism in Eukaryota, Metazoa, Chordata, Mammalia, Primates, Cebidae. The record is from RefSeq and is a predicted model, not a curated record.